This 254-nucleotide ribosomal RNA is filed under the name uncultured bacterium. Its description in RNAcentral is "partial 16S ribosomal RNA". It matches the Rfam family "Bacterial small subunit ribosomal RNA", at positions 524 to 776 of the family's 1533-position model. The record is from RNAcentral.
UACGUAGGGUGCGAGCGUUGUCCGGAAUUACUGGGCGUAAGGAGCUCGUAGGUGGUUUGUCGCGUCGUCUGUGAAAUUCCGGGGCUCAACCUCGGGCGUGCAGGCGAUACGGGCAUAACUUGAGUGCUGUAGGGGAGACUGGAAUUCCUGGUGUAGCGGUGAAAUGCGCAGAUAUCAGGAGGAACACCGAUGGCGAAGGCAGGUCUCUGGGCAGUAACUGACACUGAGGAGCGAAAGCAUGGGUAGCGAAUAGG